GUCCACGCUGUAAACGAUGAACACUAGAUGUCGGGAGAGGUUUCUUCCGGUGUCGUCGCUAACGCAGUAAGUGUUCCGCCUGGGGAGUACGCUCGCAAGGGUGAAACUCAAAGGAAUUGACGGGGCCCGCACAAGCGGUGGAGCAUGUGGUUUAAUUCGAUGCAACGCGAAGAACCUUACCUGGGCUUGACAUGGGAAUGACCGCUCGAGAGAUCGAGCUUUCUCUUCGGAGACAUUCCGCACAGGUGCUGCAUGGCUGUCGU
RNAcentral lists this ribosomal RNA (263 nucleotides) under uncultured bacterium. RNAcentral's name for it is "partial 16S ribosomal RNA". It matches the Rfam family "Bacterial small subunit ribosomal RNA", at positions 793 to 1055 of the family's 1533-position model. The record is from RNAcentral.